AGUUUUCUUUAUUGGGGUUGCGGACAUAUCAUAACGAAGAGAUAUCGUAAUUGAAGAGGUUUGGAAAGACCCACCACAGAAGGUAAUAGUCCUGUAUGUUAAACGAGAAGACUUUAGAUAUGAUCCAGAGUACCACGGGACACGUGAAACCCUGUGGGAAGCAGGAGGGACCACCCUCCAAGGCUAAAUACUACCUAGUGACCGAUAGCGUAUAGUACCG
This 220-nucleotide ribosomal RNA is filed under the name Clostridioides difficile. RNAcentral describes it as "partial 23S ribosomal RNA". It matches the Rfam family "Bacterial large subunit ribosomal RNA", at positions 281 to 503 of the family's 2925-position model. The record is from RNAcentral. Lineage: Bacteria; Bacillati; Bacillota; Clostridia; Peptostreptococcales; Peptostreptococcaceae.